This 493-nucleotide ribosomal RNA is filed under the name uncultured bacterium. RNAcentral describes it as "partial 16S ribosomal RNA". It matches the Rfam family "Bacterial small subunit ribosomal RNA", at positions 28 to 506 of the family's 1533-position model. The record is from RNAcentral.
GACGAACGCUGGCGGCGUGCUUAACACAUGCAAGUCGAACGGUGAAGCGCCUUCCUUUUUGGUGGGUGUGGAUGAGUGGCGAACGGGUGAGUAACACGUGAGUAACCUGCCCCCUUCUUCUGGAUAACCGCAUGAAAGUGUGGCUAAUACGGGAUAUUCUGGGUCUGUCGCAUGAUGGGUCUGGGAAAGAUAUUGUUUCGGUGGGGGAUGGGCUCGCGGCCUAUCAGCUUGUUGGUGGGGUGAUGGCCUACCAAGGCGGUGACGGGUAGCCGGCCUGAGAGGGUGGACGGUCACACUGGGACUGAGACACGGCCCAGACUCCUACGGGAGGCAGCAGUGGGGAAUAUUGCACAAUGGGCGCAAGCCUGAUGCAGCGACGCCGCGUGAGGGAUGGAGGCCUUCGGGUUGGGAACCUCUUUCGCCAGUGAAGCAGGCCUGCCUCGUUUGUGGGUGGGUGGACGGGAGCUGGAUAAGAAGCGCCGGCUAACUACGU